Pongo abelii (Sumatran orangutan) is the source of this 105-nucleotide small nuclear RNA. Lineage: Eukaryota; Metazoa; Chordata; Mammalia; Primates; Hominidae. The record is from Ensembl.
GUGCUUACUACAGCAGCACAUAUACUAAAAUUGGAAGGAUACAAACAAGAUUAGCAUGGCCCCUGUGCAAAGAUGACACAAAUUCAUGAAGCAUUCCCUAUUUCA